GUAGGGAAUAUUGGACAAUGGGCGCAAGCCUGAUCCAGCCAUGCCGCGUGAGUGAUGAAGGCCCUAGGGUUGUAAAGCUCUUUCACCGGUGAAGAUAAUGACGGUAACCGGAGAAGAAGCCCCGGCUAACUUCGUGCCAGCAGCCGCGGUAAUACGAAGGGGGCUAGCGUUGUUCGGAAUUACUGGGCGUAAAGCGCACGUAGGCGGACAUUUAAGUCAGGGGUGAAAUCCCGGGGCUCCACCCCGGAACUGCCUUUGAUACUGGGUGUCUGGAGUAUGGAAGAGGUAAGUGGAAUUCCGAGUGUAGAGGUGAAAUUCGUAGAUAUUCGGAGGAACACCAGUGGCGAAGGCGGCUUACUGGUCCAUUACUGACGCUGAGGUGCGAAAGCGUGGGGAGCAAACAGGAUUAGAAACCCCUGUAGUCC
Molecule: ribosomal RNA, 425 nt
Filed under: uncultured bacterium
Lineage: Bacteria
Description: bacterial SSU rRNA
Rfam family: Bacterial small subunit ribosomal RNA
Source: RNAcentral